CCUACGGGAGACAGCAGUGAGGAAUAUUGGUCAAUGGACGAGAGUCUGAACCAGCCAAGUAGCGUGAAGGAUGACUGCCCUAUGGGUUGUAAACUUCUUUUAUAAAGGAAUAAAACGAGGCACGUGUGCCUUUUUGCAUGUACUUUAUGAAUAAGGAUCGGCUAACUCCGUGCCAGCAGCCGCGGUAAUACGGAGGAUCCGAGCGUUAUCCGGAUUUAGUGGGUUUAAAGGGAGCGUAGAUGGGUUGUUAAGUCAGUUGUGAAAGUUUGCGGCACAACCGUAAAAUUGCAAUUGAUACUGGCAGUCUUGAGUACAGUUGAGGUAGGCGGAAUUCGUGGUGUAGCGGUGAAAUGCUUAGAUAUCACGAAGAACCCCGAUUGCGAAGGCAGCUUACUAAACUGUGACUGACAUUGAUGCUCGAAAGUGUGGGUAUCAAACAGGAUUAGAUACCCGUGUAGUC
This 460-nucleotide ribosomal RNA is filed under the name uncultured bacterium. RNAcentral's name for it is "partial 16S ribosomal RNA". It matches the Rfam family "Bacterial small subunit ribosomal RNA", at positions 338 to 795 of the family's 1533-position model. The record is from RNAcentral.